UUACAGCGAAAAUUAAACUCAUGUCCAACCCAAAUCGUUUGAAAAUAUAAUAAAACAUUAACGCAAUAAUGAUUAAGUGCUGACACGCGUGGAGGACGUUUUACUCCCCUUCGCCACGCGUCGAGACAAACGAGCUCCACCGUUGGAAUCGCCAAACACCACUGCAGUUCUGAUUUGCCACCAUCAAUCGGCCAGUGACCGAUGAAGAUCUUUGUGCCUUCUGUCGAUCUCGAAUGCAAGCGCCUAGAUGUCGAUAUUCUGCCGGAUCAAGUCUAAAGAGCUGCUUCAAAAUCUCCAAUUAGCACCAUCGUCGGGGAAGCUUCAUCAUUGGCUACACCCAAAAUUGAUGUAGCUUGAUCUUUGCUCGUACGUUGUGACCAAAACGAAGAGAUGAAGAUGUUAUUCCUCAAACAAUUUGGUGGAAACAAAGAGAAUUAUGAAGAAGGCGGAGAUGUCGACAAACGCUUAAGAUGGAGAUCUAAGCUCGUCACGGCGAGAGAACCGGACAAAACCGGUGACAAAAGUCUGACACAUAGCCAGAAUUAUUGAGAUCGCACUAAGACGAAAGAUAUACAUAUCCGGCUAACCGGAAACAAAAGUUUAUACAAGUGAACUCUCUCUCUCUCUCAAGGAUAUGUGAGAGAUAAGAGAAAGAGGAAAUUCUCUUAAUUACUAAUAUAUUUCUUAUCAGCGAU
Molecule: small RNA, 695 nt
Filed under: Arabidopsis thaliana (thale cress)
Lineage: Eukaryota; Viridiplantae; Streptophyta; Magnoliopsida; Brassicales; Brassicaceae
Description: putative long intergenic non-coding RNA
Source: RNAcentral